Ictalurus punctatus (channel catfish) is the source of this 278-nucleotide long non-coding RNA. The record is from Ensembl. NCBI's taxonomy places the organism in Eukaryota, Metazoa, Chordata, Actinopteri, Siluriformes, Ictaluridae.
UGGUGAUCAGCGAUUGGAGGUUGUUAGGCACUAUGGUGAUCAGCGAUUGGUGGUUGUUAGGAGCUAUGGUGAUCAGCGAUUGGAGGUUGUUAGGUGCUAUGGUGAUCAGCUAUUGGAGGUUGUUAGGUGCUAUGGUGAUCAGCUAUUGGAGGUUGUUAGGAGCAAUGGUGAUCAGAGAUUGGUGGUUGUUAGGAGCUAUGGUGAUCAGCGAUUGGUUGUUAGGCACAAUGGUGAUCAGCGAUUGGUUGUUAGGCGCUAUGGUGAUCAGUGAUUGGUUG